AGUGAACGCUGGCGGUAGGCCUAACACAUGCAAGUCGAACGGCAGCACAGUAAGAGCUUGCUCUUACGGGUGGCGAGUGGCGGACGGGUGAGGAAUACAUCGGAAUCUACUUUUUCGUGGGGGAUAACGUAGGGAAACUUACGCUAAUACCGCAUACGACCUACGGGUGAAGGCAGGGGAUCUUCGGACCUUGCGCGAUUGAAUGAGCCGAUGUCGGAUUAGCCAGUUGGCGGGGUAAAGGCCCACCAAGGCGACGAUCCGUAGCUGGUCUGAGAGGAUGAUCAGCCACACUGGAACUGAGACACGGUCCAGACUCCUACGGGAGGCAGCAGUGGGGAAUAUUGGACAAUGGGCGCAAGCCUGAUCCAGCCAUACCGCGUGGGUGAAGAAGGCCUUCGGGUUGUAAAGCCCUUUUGUUGGGAAAGAAAAGCAGCAGGUUAAUACCCCGCUGUUCUGACGGUACCCAAAGAAUAAGCACCGGCUAACUUCGUG
This 492-nucleotide ribosomal RNA is filed under the name uncultured bacterium. RNAcentral's name for it is "partial 16S ribosomal RNA". It matches the Rfam family "Bacterial small subunit ribosomal RNA", at positions 29 to 507 of the family's 1533-position model. The record is from RNAcentral.